AAGAGAUCAAAUGACACAGAAUUUAACAACUAUAUUUCACCGUACGGCCUUCAACAAUGAGCAAAGCCCAUACCGCAUAGUCAGCUACAAAGGGCCCCAAAAUGACAAUGAAAAAACAAUUCAAACGAGAAAACUAAAGGCUUAAUUUAUGUACCAAAACAUUAACGAAAAACAAAUAUGUUACACAUAAACAAACGACAACCACUGAAUUAAAGGCUCCUGACUUAAGACAGACACACACAUACAGAAUGUGGCGGGGUUAAACAUGUUAACUGGGUCACAACCCUCCCCCUAACCUGGGACAGUGGUAUAACAGUACAAUAUAAGAACGAACUAUAAAACUCAGUUGAAAAAGGCUUAACUCAUCAGAUGGAUAAAAAUACAAAUACUACAAAAAAACAAGUAGACGUGACCGGGUACUUGUACAUUCCAACAACAAAAACACUAAGAACAGAUAUGAAAGUACUCGCAGUUACUGACAGCUAGUUCAAACCCACUAACAACUAAUAAAAAAAUCAUGUAUCUAAGACUACAUUAUCAAUCCGUACAUAUCCAAAAUCCAAUGGAUUUAGUGUAAAGACGUCAAAAACAGUCAGAGAAAAACAUGACCUUGUGCAAUGCCAAGAUACAGGUAUCGGCAGAUUGUAGAUCCAUGAAUGUGUAUAUGUAUAUAUAACAAUAUUCAAAGAUCUAAUUACAUUGUUGAAUUGAUAACCUUUUAGAAUAAGUUGUGAAAUAUAAACACCGUAAGCUGGUGCCAAAGCAACAUCACCAUCCAAAAUGGG
This 785-nucleotide long non-coding RNA is filed under the name Mytilus galloprovincialis (Mediterranean mussel). The record is from RNAcentral. Lineage: Eukaryota; Metazoa; Mollusca; Bivalvia; Mytilida; Mytilidae.